AGUAACCUGCCCUUGACUUUGGGAUAACUUCAGGAAACUGGGGCUAAUACCGGAUAGGAGCUCCUGCUGCAUGGUGGGGGUUGGAAAGUUUCGGCGGUUGGGGAUGGACUCGCGGCUUAUCAGCUUGUUGGUGGGGUAGUGGCUUACCAAGGCUUUGACGGGUAGCCGGCCUGAGAGGGUGACCGGCCACAUUGGGACUGAGAUACGGCCCAG
This 213-nucleotide ribosomal RNA is filed under the name uncultured Actinomycetales bacterium. RNAcentral's name for it is "partial 16S ribosomal RNA". It matches the Rfam family "Bacterial small subunit ribosomal RNA", at positions 120 to 334 of the family's 1533-position model. Lineage: Bacteria; Bacillati; Actinomycetota; Actinomycetes; Actinomycetales. The record is from RNAcentral.